AUUGAACGCUGGCGGCAGGCCUAACACAUGCAAGUCGAACGAGUGGCGGACGGGUGAGUAAUGUCUGGGAAACUGCCCGAUGGAGGGGGAUAACUACUGGAAACGGUAGCUAAUACCGCAUACCAUCGGAUGUGCCCAGAUGGGAUUAGCUAGUAGGUGGGGUAACGGCUCACCUAGGCGACGAUCCCUAGCUGGUCUGAGAGGAUGACCAGCCACACUGGAACUGAGACACGGUCCAGGGUGCUACGGUAGGCAGAAGUGGGGAAUAGUGCAGAAGGGGCGCAAGCAUGAGGCAGCCAUGACGCGUGUAUGAAGAAGGCCGUAGGGUGGGAAAGUACUGUCAGCGAGGGGGCGUUACGCGCAGAAGAAGCACCGGCUAACUCCGUGCCAGCAGCCGCGGUAAUUC
This 406-nucleotide ribosomal RNA is filed under the name uncultured bacterium. RNAcentral's name for it is "partial 16S ribosomal RNA". It matches the Rfam family "Bacterial small subunit ribosomal RNA", at positions 29 to 526 of the family's 1533-position model. The record is from RNAcentral.